CAGUCUAUGAAAGACAGCAUAAAACUUAAUUAAUAUCAUUAAUCAAGUUAGACAUCAUAUGAAACCAUUCUCUUAAGACUCAAAGUAUGACAUAACAUACUAUAACAUCAACAACAUCUUGCAGCGGAAAGUAGCUAGACAUAUGUAUGAAGACAUAUUCUAGAUAGGUUAACUAUUUAUUAACAACCCUGGAGACUCCGCUCAUUGCAGCACCAUCAUCACAUCAGCUCAACCUGCACAUUUAGAAAACAUAUGCAGGGCUGAGUACAAAAGCACUCAGUGGGCACGUAUGCCUAGGUAUAAAAAUACAUGCUUCAAAACUAUAAAUUGUCAUGCCAUCAUAAUCAGUACAGCAAGGGAGUUUUUCGCUAAAAAGGCC
RNAcentral lists this long non-coding RNA (379 nucleotides) under Salvia miltiorrhiza (redroot sage). RNAcentral's name for it is "long non-coding RNA (SMIL_LNC000362)". The record is from RNAcentral. Lineage: Eukaryota; Viridiplantae; Streptophyta; Magnoliopsida; Lamiales; Lamiaceae.